RNAcentral lists this ribosomal RNA (484 nucleotides) under uncultured bacterium. RNAcentral's name for it is "partial 16S ribosomal RNA". It matches the Rfam family "Bacterial small subunit ribosomal RNA", at positions 28 to 507 of the family's 1533-position model. The record is from RNAcentral.
AUUGAACGCUGGCGGCAUGCUUUACACAUGCAAGUCGAACGGCAGCGCGGGCUUCGGCCUGGCGGCGAGUGGCGAACGGGUGAGUAAUGCAUCGGAACGUGCCCAGUAGUGGGGGAUAGCCCGGCGAAAGCCGGAUUAAUACCGCAUACGACCUGAGGGUGAAAGCGGGGGACCGAAAGGCCUCGCGCUAUUGGAGCGGCCGAUGUCGGAUUAGCUAGUUGGUGGGGUAAGGGCUUACCAAGGCGACGAUCCGUAGCUGGUCUGAGAGGACGACCAGCCACACUGGGACUGAGACACGGCCCAGACUCCUACGGGAGGCAGCAGUGGGGAAUUUUGGGCAAUGGGGGCAACCCUGAUCCAGCCAUGCCGCGUGCGGGAAGAAGGCCUUCGGGUUGUAAACCGCUUUUGUUCGGGAAGAAAUCCUCUGGGCUAAUACCCCGGGGGGAUGACGGUACCGGAAGAAUAAGCACCGGCUAACUACGUG